This 464-nucleotide ribosomal RNA is filed under the name Vreelandella stevensii. Its description in RNAcentral is "partial 16S ribosomal RNA". It matches the Rfam family "Bacterial small subunit ribosomal RNA", at positions 338 to 795 of the family's 1533-position model. The record is from RNAcentral. Lineage: Bacteria; Pseudomonadati; Pseudomonadota; Gammaproteobacteria; Oceanospirillales; Halomonadaceae.
CCUACGGGGCGCAGCAGUGGGGAAUAUUGGACAAUGGGCGAAAGCCUGAUCCAGCCAUGCCGCGUGUGUGAAGAAGGCCUUCGGGUUGUAAAGCACUUUCAGUGGGGAAGAAAGCCUUGGGGCUAAUACCCUCGAGGAAGGACAUCACCCACAGAAGAAGCACCGGCUAACUCCGUGCCAGCAGCCGCGGUAAUACGGAGGGUGCGAGCGUUAAUCGGAAUUACUGGGCGUAAAGCGCGCGUAGGCGGUCUGAUAAGCCGGUUGUGAAAGCCCCGGGCUCAACCUGGGAACGGCAUCCGGAACUGUCAGGCUAGAGUGCAGGAGAGGAAGGUAGAAUUCCCGGUGUAGCGGUGAAAUGCGUAGAGAUCGGGAGGAAUACCAGUGGCGAAGGCGGCCUUCUGGACUGACACUGACGCUGAGGUGCGAAAGCGUGGGUAGCAAACAGGAUUAGAUACCCCGUAGUC